Molecule: long non-coding RNA, 568 nt
Organism: Vicia villosa (hairy vetch)
Lineage: Eukaryota; Viridiplantae; Streptophyta; Magnoliopsida; Fabales; Fabaceae
Exons: 3
Source: RefSeq, a predicted model, not a curated record
AAACUCUCACGCCUCUUCGUUCGAUCGACUCAACCCUCGUCUCUCAUUCUCUCACAUCUCCAUUUCUGAACGGUGGUUAGACUCAUUCAACCAUCUUCUUCAUUCAAUCUCACAACCAUGAAUACAAGCCAGCUUCGUCGUCUUCUUCUCGUCUUCGUAACUUCCGGCGCCGCUAGAUAACCACCACCAUCAUCGCCUUCGCUUGAAUCAAAGGUCUCGGAACACCAAUCACAUCCGAAGUACAUCAUUCCUCCAUUUCAACCGCGAUUUUGACUCUUAACACAAAACCCUAGGUUCUUUACGGACAGAAUUGAACAUUCACCGUCACAAAUUGAGCUCAAUUCCUUGGGGGUUCGAUUCACCAUAGCAUAAGCUUCGUGUUGGUGACAAGAACUAAGCAAAGCGGUGAAGUAAAGAAUGAGUUCGGCAGUUACCUAUCAGAGAUUAACAAAUGCAAUUUCGACAACGACGAAGAGAAAAAGAAAACCAGAUGCUCCGCCUUUCAGGGUAAACCAAGAAAUAACACACAGAGAUGAUGUUUCAUAGGAGAUGACAAGGAGACUUUUGA